GGGCUCGGGACUCGGGCCUGGAAGAACAGCACGGGGGGAAUGGCUUCCCACUGCCACAGGGCAAAGUUAGAUGGGGUCUUGGGAAGAAAUUCUUCCCUGUGAAGGUGGAGAGGCCUUGGCACGGGUCGCCCAGAGAAACUGUGGCUGCCCGGUCCCUGGUAGUGUCCAAGGCCAGGAUGGAGCAGCCUGGGAUAGUGGAAGGUGUCCCUCCCAUGGCAGGUUGAUGGGAUUGCACGAGUUUUAAGGUCCGUUCUAAGCAGAUAGAGAAGAUCUCUGAAGCCAAAUUCUUGUCCAGAAUAGAUGGUUGAAAUCAAAAUAGCCUUUUGGUGUGAUGGGUACCAAGAUGGGAGAAGGGUUAGUCAGUCUGGCAGCCCAGCUAGUGAGGCUGCUGGAAUGCUGCUUCUGAGACUACUGCUUCAAUUCUCAUCUCUGCCCAAGUCCAAGUUUUACCAGUGACUUGAGCACCUAAAUCUGAUUAAAAUAUGAUUUAGACAACAGCUGCAAUCAAUCUAAUACAAUCUAAUGUUUUCAUACCUGUUGGCUGUUUAUUAAAUACAGUCAUGGAGAGGGGCUGGG
Long non-coding RNA from Poecile atricapillus (Black-capped chickadee), 576 nucleotides. RefSeq lists it as uncharacterized. NCBI's taxonomy places the organism in Eukaryota, Metazoa, Chordata, Aves, Passeriformes, Paridae. The record is from RefSeq and is a predicted model, not a curated record. The transcript is spliced from 3 exons.